This is a non-coding RNA of Acanthosepion pharaonis, 104 nucleotides long. The record is from the annotation of a GenBank genome assembly. Lineage: Eukaryota; Metazoa; Mollusca; Cephalopoda; Sepiida; Sepiidae.
AUCCAUAUCACUUUUUAGCACCAGUUCUUAUACGCUCCCAGAAGUUAAGCAACGUCGAGGUGGGUUAGUACCUUGAUGGGUUACCUCUUGGAAAUACCAGUGCU